Non-coding RNA from Misgurnus anguillicaudatus (oriental weatherfish), 1025 nucleotides. The record is from RefSeq and is a predicted model, not a curated record. Lineage: Eukaryota; Metazoa; Chordata; Actinopteri; Cypriniformes; Cobitidae.
CUAGCUAUGUUAACAGCUAUUCACUUUUUAUUGCAUUGGCAUAGUGCAUCCUAUUUUUAUUUUUUUAUUUAUUUAUUGCUGUUUUAAUUAUCAUUGAGUUGUAGAUCAAUGUUUACAUUUGUUUAUUUCUUUAUUUAUUUUUAUUACAGAUGCAGGGUACCAUCCCUGAUCACACUGCUGUUCAAGAUAUCCAAGGAUUUAUAUCUCAGAACCAGGAGGAAAUUUGAAUGGUUUCUUACUUGCUUAAAGAAUGAGACGUUUUAUCUACAUACACAGAGGGUCCCCUUACAUGGAAGCCGCCAUUUUGUGCAGCCAUGUUUCUACAGAAGUCCUUAACAGACAAACUUUUUUACUAAGUUGUCUCCGACAAUGGCAUGUUUGUCCGGUAGCGGCUACAGUAGCUUCUCUGUGUGUUACAAAAGCAAGAGGUGAGCAGUUGACUGAGCCGUUGGUUGCAAUUCACAACCUCACCACUAGAUGCCACUAAAAUUUACACACUGCACCUUUAAUCCUGUUUCUCCAUCUCUCAUUCUAUCUCUCAUUCUAUCUGUCUGUCUGUCUGUCUGUCUGUCUAUCUAUCUAUCUAUCUAUCUAUCUAUUUCUCAUUCUGUCUGUCUGUCUGUCUGUCUCACUCACUCAGUGGUAGUCUUAUGUCAUUAAUAUUGUGUUUAAUUUGUUCUAUGUAGGGAUAUGCCAUUGCAGCUGACCUUGAGAGUUCACUCUCUAUACCUGCAACUCCUCGUCUGAUACUUCUUGGAGAAACGAGAAGCCGCUUCCAGCGCUGGAUGCUCAGCCUUGAGGGCCAAAUUUGCGAAGGGAUCCAGUCCACCUUUGUGACAGGGCUUGCGUCUUUUUUUUCUGUUUUCACAUCUUUAACCAAGAGCAGGCAGCCUGCACGCUUGAAUUCAUCCAGAGACACUUUGAGGGUAUAAACCCAGAAAAAGGGACAAAUGCUGCAAAGGGGGAGCAAGCUCAUGGACUUUCAGUUGGAUUUCAUUUGAAAAUGGUGAGUAAGAUGUAUACAU